This 614-nucleotide ribosomal RNA is filed under the name uncultured fungus. Its description in RNAcentral is "SSU rRNA". It matches the Rfam family "Eukaryotic small subunit ribosomal RNA", at positions 445 to 1063 of the family's 1831-position model. Lineage: Eukaryota; Fungi. The record is from RNAcentral.
CCAAUCCCGACACGGGGAGGUAGUGACAAUAAAUAACAAUAUAGGGCUCUUUCGGGUCUUAUAAUUGGAAUGAGUACAAUUUAAAUCCCUUAACGAGGAACAAUUGGAGGGCAAGUCUGGUGCCAGCAGCCGCGGUAAUUCCAGCUCCAAUAGCGUAUAUUAAAGUUGUUGCAGUUAAAAAGCUCGUAGUUGAACUUCAGACCUGGCUGGGCGGUCCGCCUAACGGCGUGUACUGUCUGGCUGGGCCUUACCUCUUGGUGAGCCGGCGUGCCCUUCAUUGGUGUGCGUCGGGGAACCAGGACUUUUACCUUGAGAAAAUUAGAGUGUUCAAAGCAGGCCUAUGCCCGAAUACAUUAGCAUGGAAUAAUAAAAUAGGACGUGCGGUUCUAUUUUGUUGGUUUCUAGAGUCGCCGUAAUGAUUAAUAGGGAUAGUUGGGGGCAUUGGUAUUGAGUCGCUAGAGGUGAAAUUCUUAGAUUGACUCAAGACCGACUAUUGCGAAAGCAUUUGCCAAGGAUGUUUUCAUUAAUCAAGAACGAAGGUUAGGGGAUCGAAAACGAUCAGAUACCGUUGUAGUCUUAACAGUAAACUAUGCCGACUAGGGAUCGGGCGACCU